AUGUGAAUCACCUGGGGAUCUUGUUAAAAUGCAGAUUCUGAUUCAGCAGGUCUGGGGUGAGGCCCGCAUUUCCAGCAGCUCCCAAGUGCUAUUAAUG
Molecule: microRNA precursor, 97 nt
Filed under: Chlorocebus sabaeus (green monkey)
Lineage: Eukaryota; Metazoa; Chordata; Mammalia; Primates; Cercopithecidae
Description: miRNA (ENSCSAG00000027683.1)
Source: RNAcentral